This 147-nucleotide unclassified non-coding RNA is filed under the name soil metagenome. Its description in RNAcentral is "partial internal transcribed spacer 1". The record is from RNAcentral.
CCGAGUUUACAACUCCCAAACCCCUGUGAACAUACCACUUGUUGCCUCGGCGGAUCAGCCCGCUCCCGGUAAAACGGGGCGGCCCGCCAGAGGACCCCUAAACUCUGUUUCUAUAUGUAACUUCUGAGUAAAACCAUAAAUAAAUCA